GAAGACCUGCAGGACCUUCUCCUACAUCAUCUAAAUGCAACUCAGAUAUUUUAAUUAAAAUAAGGCCUU
Molecule: transfer RNA, 69 nt
Filed under: Phrynocephalus interscapularis (Tajikistan toadhead agama)
Lineage: Eukaryota; Metazoa; Chordata; Lepidosauria; Squamata; Agamidae
Description: tRNA-Ala
Source: RNAcentral